Molecule: ribosomal RNA, 301 nt
Filed under: uncultured bacterium
Lineage: Bacteria
Description: partial 16S ribosomal RNA
Rfam family: Bacterial small subunit ribosomal RNA
Source: RNAcentral
CAGCCGCCACGGGAAUACGGAGGGCGCGAGCGUUACCCGGAUUUACUGGGCGUAAAGGGCGUGUAGGCGGCCUGGGGCGUCCCAUGUGAAAGGCCACGGCUCAACCGUGGAGGAGCGUGGGAUACGCUCAGGCUAGAGGGUGGGAGAGGGUGGUGGAAUUCCCGGAGUAGCGGUGAAAUGCGCAGAUACCGGGAGGAACGCCGAUGGCGAAGGCAGCCACCUGGUCCACUUCUGACGCUGAGGCGCGAAAGCGUGGGGAGCAAACCGGAUUAGAUACCCGCGUAGUCCCUGUCUCUUAUAC